Molecule: long non-coding RNA, 233 nt
Organism: Oncorhynchus tshawytscha (Chinook salmon)
Lineage: Eukaryota; Metazoa; Chordata; Actinopteri; Salmoniformes; Salmonidae
Exons: 3
Source: RefSeq, a predicted model, not a curated record
AGCCCUUCUAUGGUCUGGCGGCUGCUCUAAAGUGGUUCCUCACCAACUUCCUACUGUUUUUACUGGAGUUCAACAUCUGUGGUCUCUGGCACUCUGACCGCUUUGCUGAAGCGUCGGCCCAGAAGAAGAAGGGAGACAUCCUGCAGCCGUGUGACACAGAGUACCCCAGCUUUGUCUACGAGCCCUCCAUCAAGGAGACCAACAGCCUCAUUAAGUGUGGACGCUGUCAGAAG